GACGCGGUGGCCUAAUGGUUUAGCGCGUUGGACUCCGGAUCAAGCGAUCCGGGUUAGAUCCCUAGCCUGGGUCA
Molecule: transfer RNA, 74 nt
Filed under: Desmophyllum pertusum
Lineage: Eukaryota; Metazoa; Cnidaria; Anthozoa; Scleractinia; Caryophylliidae
Description: tRNA-Arg
Source: RNAcentral